Molecule: ribosomal RNA, 497 nt
Filed under: uncultured bacterium
Lineage: Bacteria
Description: partial 16S ribosomal RNA
Rfam family: Bacterial small subunit ribosomal RNA
Source: RNAcentral
GAUGAACGCUGGCGGCGUGCCUAAUACAUGCAAGUCGAGCGAACAGACGAGGAGCUUGCUCCUCUGAUGUUAGCGGCGGACGGGUGAGUAACACGUGGAUAACCUACCUAUAAGACUGGGAUAACUUCGGGAAACCGGAGCUAAUACCGGAUAACAUGUUGAACCGCAUGGUUCAACAGUGAAAGACGGUCUUGCUGUCACUUAUAGAUUGAUCCGCGCCGCAUUAGCUAGUUGGUAAGGUAACGGCUUACCAAGGCAACGAUGCGUAGCCGACCUGAGAGGGUGAUCGGCCACACUGGAACUGAGACACGGUCCAGACUCCUACGGGAGGCAGCAGUAGGGAAUCUUCCGCAAUGGGCGAAAGCCUGACGGAGCAACGCCGCGUGAGUGAAGAAGGUCUUCGGAUCGUAAAACUCUGUUAUUAGGGAAGAACAAAUGUGUAAGUAACUAUGCACGUCUUGACGGUACCUAAUCAGAAAGCCACGGCUAACUACGUG